UACGUAGGGUGCAAGCGUUGUCCGGAAUUAUUGGGCGUAAAGAGCUCGUAGGCGGUUUGUCGCGUCUGCUGUGAAAGCCCCGGGCUUAACCUGGGAAUGGCAGUGGAAACUGGCGGGCUUGAGUGUGGCAGAGGGGGGUGGAAUUCCGCGUGUAGCAGUGAAAUGCGUAGAGAUGCGGAGGAACACCGAUGGCGAAGGCAGCCCCCUGGGCUGACACUGACGCUGAGGCACGAAAGCGUGGGGAGCGAACAGG
This 253-nucleotide ribosomal RNA is filed under the name uncultured bacterium. Its description in RNAcentral is "partial 16S ribosomal RNA". It matches the Rfam family "Bacterial small subunit ribosomal RNA", at positions 524 to 776 of the family's 1533-position model. The record is from RNAcentral.